UGGUGUGUGACCCAGCAUGGUUUGAGGAUUGGACUAUAACUCUAGAGACUAGGUUCAAAUCCUGGCUUGGCCA
Molecule: non-coding RNA, 73 nt
Organism: Phrynosoma platyrhinos (Desert horned lizard)
Lineage: Eukaryota; Metazoa; Chordata; Lepidosauria; Squamata; Phrynosomatidae
Source: the annotation of a GenBank genome assembly